CAGUCCUCAAGCACAAAGAUCUGGACCCCACUGACUUUCAUUGUAUGGACAAAAGCUCUUCGAAAUAUCUUCUUUUGUGUUCCACUGAAGAAACAAAGUCAGGUUUGGAACUACAUGAAGAUGAACUAUGAACAAUUACUUUAAUUACAUUAUUUCUCCACUAAUUUUACCCUGGAUACCUGAUCUUUGCCUGAAAUCUCAUGAUCUCAGAUUCAUUUCUGCACAUGGCACAUCAGGGAAAAUCUCACAGAGAGCUCACAUUCAUCACAACUCGAGCACAUCCUGCCUGGAGUCCGUUUCAGGAAAGAGUGGGUCACCGCAGCAUUAUGUAAUGGGCUCUUUGCUGUCAUGGCAACGCUGUGGGAACUGGAACUGUGUAUUCGUGUGGCAGGAGGCUAUGGCGUGUGUUGACAGAAUGUUCCUCACGUUGGGUUCCUGGAUGGGCCAGGCUAUAAACACUCAGUCAAGGAGUUCCCUCUCUUCUACAGUUCGGGUUUGGAGUUCUGCGCAGGCAAAGGCAGUCUGAAGUUUCCAUCCUUCAGCUUGGAGCAGCACUUUCCUGAACUCCUGCCAGGAAAAUGUGUGUUGGCUUGGCAGCUCGACUGUGGGAAGACUAUGGGCAAAAACUGAUGGAGUUUUGCGGCAAUGGCUUUAUAUAGCCUUACAGCUCCUCGGGACUCCCUCUUUGGUGUAGACAUAGCGAUAGAGGUAUCAGUAGUAGCAAGAGCUGCGAUUACAGGAACAUAAUGAGUGAAAAUCAGAGACGCCACAAUUUAAACAGAAAAUGGCUUAGUAAUAUGUGCGUAUUAUGUUUUAAAAUUACCCCACUGCAUAUAAACUGUAAAUUCUAUCGAGAUUUUUUUAUUUUUUGGUGAUCCACUCAUGUGAGUCCACUUACAUGAGUUUGACCCCUGGGACCAGUGGUCUGUUACCUCCAGAUAAAGCUUUAAUUUCAUGUUCAGCUGCACAAAGAAAACAAAUGCUAUUCCCCGGUCUCUGCUAAUUACUGCUGUCCCAUUUCAGGAAGAAGUUUGUCCCCCUCCUCCUGUUUUCUCUGUUAUCUACUGUACACGACUUCCUGCAUGAGCACUGAAGCAGGCCGAUCCACUCAGAGAGAGAGAAACAGAGAGAGGUUCGGUGAGAGAGACCCUCACAUUAUGAAUGAGAUAAAUUCAUAAGCCGAUAUGCUUUUAUUAAGUCAUUAUACUAAAGAAGUUAUUAAAUUAUUAUCUGGAAAAUAUUAGCUUUUUUAGUUGAUAUUGUUUGCACAAUAUUAUAAUCUUAUAGAUAUCAACCUAUUUAAAAUAGAUUUAGUUUAUUAUUUAUUACUGUUAAAUGCUAGGACUGUCAUUAAAAUAAAGUAAUUGUCAUAAAAUAUUUACUUUAUUAC
Cyprinus carpio (common carp) is the source of this 1390-nucleotide long non-coding RNA. The record is from Ensembl. Lineage: Eukaryota; Metazoa; Chordata; Actinopteri; Cypriniformes; Cyprinidae.